Arachis stenosperma is the source of this 802-nucleotide long non-coding RNA. RefSeq lists it as uncharacterized. NCBI's taxonomy places the organism in Eukaryota, Viridiplantae, Streptophyta, Magnoliopsida, Fabales, Fabaceae. The record is from RefSeq and is a predicted model, not a curated record. The transcript has 5 exons.
GUUGCUUCACCCCCGAAAAGACGAACUCCCACAUUUGAGUGUUAGCGAAACAGAGAUUCAGAGAGAAGACAGAGCACGCCACCAAAACCCUAUGUUUGCCGCCAUAGCCAUUGCCGCCUCUGUCGCCACCAUAGUUCAUCUACUCUCCAGAUCUGGUUGAUCGUAACGUUAAAGCCUUUGAGUUAUUCAAUGUUCUUGUGCCUUUGAUGCAUCUUAAAUCGAACACCUUGCACAUAUCAAGAAAAAACAUUGCCUUCGUGUGAAUGAAGGUUCUACACCCUUUUGACUAUCACUCUUGGCAUAGUGGGAGGAUGGAGAUGGAGCAUCAACUCCAUGUAUUUACAAGAAAGAAUGUCCUGAUUGCAAGAGUUUGUUAGAAUUUUAGGCCUACUAGUAAUAAACUCAACAAUAAGCUUCAUAGGAGAAAAUAAUGCUAAUAAUGCUGCAACAACACUGAUGGUUCAUUUAGCUCCUAAAACAAAGGUUCUAAGGGAUGGGCAGUGGCAAGAGCAAAAUGCAGCCAUAAUUUAAAAGGGUAUAAUGAUGACCACUUGAUCCUUGUUAAUUUUCAUACUAGAAUUCUAUUUAAAUAUUGUAUGAGUAUUGGAAAGGUGUUUUUUUAACUGCAUAUUUGCAUUCAAUGUUGAUCAUCCUUAGAUUAAAUAAUUAUGAAAUGAAAGAGAUUUAUAAUCUAAUAGAAGGUUGUGAAAUAGACGAGUAUUUUAGGACGAAUAAUAAUGAGGGGUUGAAUUUUGGGGCAUUGAUAAAAAAAUUUAUUAAAGGGUUUGUUAGGGUGUUUGAA